AUUCUCACCGGGGCCUGCGGGGCAGAGCUGCCCUUCUCGGUUGCUGUCCCUGAGGAGCCCGUCCAGCCAGCUGGGCCGCGAGGCCGAGGCCAGGCCGCAGCCCAGGAGCCGCCCCACCGCCACCGGC
Non-coding RNA from Callithrix jacchus (white-tufted-ear marmoset), 127 nucleotides. The record is from Rfam. NCBI's taxonomy places the organism in Eukaryota, Metazoa, Chordata, Mammalia, Primates, Cebidae.